GGAAAAUACGACAUCAACUUUCCGGCGAAAAGCCAGCCGAGAAAGAGAAAGGUGGAGGAACUAAAAUCCUAGUUGUCCGGACAGCAGUCAUUUUUCACUCAACAAACUUCAAAAGCGAAAGCCGCCACUGAAGCAUCGUUCGGGGUGAGUCACGCGAUCAUUAAAAACAACAAGUCCUUCCAAGACGGAGAGAUGGUAAAAGAAGCAUUCGUUGAAGCAGCUGACUCAAGUAAUUAAGGUGGAGACAUGAAAGGCAGCGGAGAGUUGGAAGGUGGACAGAAAGAUGAGUAAAGGUGGAUUAUUUUUUAUGGGUCUAGGGCUGCAGCAAACAAUUUAUUGAACAGCAUGUACCAGGACAUAUAAAAAACAUCUUACAGCUUCUGUCUUCAGAGGGCACCAGACAGGGAUGCUCACUUUCCCCCUCAUGAUUUCCUAUUUUUGUGGAACCAUUAGCUGCAGCAAUCAGGCAAACUAAAGAUAUUAAAGGCAUAAAAUGCAUGAAUGUUGAACAUUAAAUCAGUCUUUAUGUGUA
Molecule: long non-coding RNA, 532 nt
Organism: Girardinichthys multiradiatus
Lineage: Eukaryota; Metazoa; Chordata; Actinopteri; Cyprinodontiformes; Goodeidae
Exons: 2
Source: RefSeq, a predicted model, not a curated record